Choloepus didactylus (southern two-toed sloth) is the source of this 528-nucleotide long non-coding RNA. RefSeq lists it as uncharacterized. NCBI's taxonomy places the organism in Eukaryota, Metazoa, Chordata, Mammalia, Pilosa, Megalonychidae. The record is from RefSeq and is a predicted model, not a curated record. The transcript is spliced from 3 exons.
UCUUCCCGAGGUGUGGAAGGAAGACCGAAGGCGGUUGUGUGGUGGUCUGCUCUGGCCGCAGAAGCCGCGAGAAGAACGGCGGAUCCCUGCCAGUGCCGCAGAAGCAAAUCUCCCUAAACCAUCAAGGCAUGGCUCCCUGCCCCAGCAAUGACUGGGAAGUGAGUUCCAGGAGAGGAGCUCAGAAGCCCAGCAGACCGGGGGCAGAGCCCUGAUCUGAGGCUCCUUGGAAGGAGAUCUCUCUGCAGCAGCUCCCAGCUCCAAAGAAAAGACCGGUUACAUCUAUAGAAUGGCCAUACGAAAUAUCAAGUUAUUUUUAUUUUGUUUAAUUUUUCUUUUGUAGGUUAUCCAUGGAUAUUUUGGUUAUUUGAAAUGGUCAUACUCAAAUAUUUGACAUCUAAAACCUUUGAGGAUGAUGUGAGUGCAUUUUUUUGCAUAUAUUUCAAUAACUUGAUAAAAAAAAGCAAGCUAAUAAUGACUAUUUGAUUUAUUAAAGUGCUAAUGUUUAAACCAAAUUCUAGAUGAAGUCUG